CAUAUAUUGGGGCUGAUGUGUACUGUAGUCCUUGCUGCUGUCCAGUAGUGAUGGGAGUGAGCGCAGGACUUAUCUUUCUGCAAGAUAGCAGUACUGUAUAUUAGAAAAGAAAUGACUCACAGGUUGUACCUGAUAGACCUACUUAAAUCUUUUUGCUUUAUUCUUUCUGUCGCAUAGAAGUAUAAGUUUAUUACUCUGUUUUAUUGUAAGUUAUUUCACAUGGGAACUGUGUGCCUGGAAUGAUUGUUGCUUUAAAAAUACUAUAAGCCCACUACACUUAUUAUGAGAGUGGGAUAGUGUAAAUGUGUUACAUUGUUUGCAUGAUGAGCUCAGUAUAUUUUAUAACUGAGACAAAAAGUCACUUCAUUAGUAUUUGAAAGUUAAUUCCCCAUAUGGGAUUAAUUGUAUAGAAACACCAAUCAGCACAUCUUCCCUGCCCUGUGUGUUUGUUGCAAAAGAUCCAUACUGUAAAUAUAAUUUUAUGUUUGAAAAUAACAGAGCAACAUUUACAUUUUCAGCGGUCCAACACAUGCUUUAUUUUGCACUGUAAACUAACCUUUUUAUUGCAACAGGUUCCUUUUAAAUGAUCCAGUGUAAUAACUACUGCUUGUGUCUUCUAUGUCUCACAUUAUGUGUUAUUUUAAAUUGUGGUAUAUAGCCUGAAUCAGACAUCAUGGACAAAAGGUUUUUACCUGUGUUACUAAGGGCUCUUGGAGACUGACCGGUCUAAAGGUUUGCCAUGCCUUUAAAACAUGGUAUAGUAUAAAUUUUUUAAGUCUCUGAGAGUUCUGAAAGAUUCAGGUGAAACCAUGUCUGUUUAAUCUGGUCCAGAUGUUUGUUCAAUUUCUGUAAGAUUUAAGUUGAUGCAGCAUCAUCUCAGAUUAGUUAAUGGUAGUUUUAUACAAAUAGUUGAGUUAUGAGCGCGCUAUAUAAAUGGAUCCUUUCUUUAAAUACAAUACUAUACUAGAUUAAAGUAAUGAAGUUAAUUAAGAAAAUGUAUACAUAAGAAUCCCUAAAAUAAAUCUAAACUAAAAUUGGUAUACUUUCCAAUAAUAUGUUCUGAAUACAGCUGUUAACUCUUUAUUUUGUGUAAAUGGUGAUUGUGAUAAUGUGUGAUAAGUGUGCAGUUUAAC
This 1133-nucleotide long non-coding RNA is filed under the name Pelobates cultripes (western spadefoot toad). The record is from RNAcentral. Lineage: Eukaryota; Metazoa; Chordata; Amphibia; Anura; Pelobatidae.